AGCGAUAUAAUUUAAAAAAAAUUUUGUCUUGCAAAGACAAAUUUAUCCUAUAAGGUUUGUCGCUU
Molecule: transfer RNA, 65 nt
Filed under: Lepas anserifera
Lineage: Eukaryota; Metazoa; Arthropoda; Thecostraca; Lepadidae
Description: tRNA-Cys
Source: RNAcentral